RNAcentral lists this ribosomal RNA (557 nucleotides) under Bagrus docmak (semutundu). Its description in RNAcentral is "partial large subunit ribosomal RNA". It matches the Rfam family "Bacterial large subunit ribosomal RNA", at positions 1841 to 2606 of the family's 2925-position model. The record is from RNAcentral. Lineage: Eukaryota; Metazoa; Chordata; Actinopteri; Siluriformes; Bagridae.
ACGUGAGGAGGUCUUGCCUGCCCAGUGACUAGUUAAACGGCCGCGGUAUUUUGACCGUGCGAAGGUAGCGCAAUCACUUGUCUUUUAAAUGAAGACCUGUAUGAAUGGUGGAACGAGGGCUUAACUGUCUCCCCCUUCAAAUCAGUGAAAUUGAUCUGCCCGUGCAGAAGCGGACAUACCUCUAUAAGACGAGAAGACCCUUUGGAGCUUAAGAUGUAAAAUCAACUACAUUAAGAAUUACCAAAGAAAAUUAAACUAAGUAGUAACUGAUCAUUAUCUUCGGUUGGGGCGACCACGGGAAAAAACAAAGCUCCCAUGCGGACUGGGAUUAUUCCCAAAACUAAGAAAGACAUUUCUAAGUCGCAGUACAUCUUACCUUUAAGAUCCGGCAACCUGCCGAUCAACGGACCAAGUUACCCUAGGGAUAACAGCGCACUCCCCUUUCAGAGUCCAUAUCGACAAGGGGGUUUACGACCUCGAUGUUGGAUCAGGACAUCCUAAUGGUGCAGCCGCUAUUAAGGGUUCGUUUGUUCAACGAUAAAGGUCCUACGUGAUCU